UUUUAAAUUUAUUUUUAUUUUUAAGAAGAGAAUUCUGAUAAUACAAAAAGUACAAGUGGAUCCGUACAUAUAAACGAGUGGAUCUAUACAUGCGCUACCGAACAUCGAGUAUACAUUGAUCAUAUACAGAUGCCAUUUUCAAGACGUCUUCAAGCGAAAAUAUAAGGACGGUGAAGGAUGUAGAUGUAACAUUGUUGGAUCUUUGAAAAAAGGGAAUUUCAUCACCCAGGAUUUUGAUGUGAUAAAAUUUUAAAACGUGAUUUCCACUUUACUAGCUAUUGCUAACCUUUUUGAAGAGUUUAGCAUUUUAACCCUUGUUGAAUAUCUUGUGAAUUUCUAUGAUUCUCCUUAACUUUUUAAAGAAGAAAAGUAUCACGUAAAUUAAAGUGUGGUCUAAAAUCCGGGAAAAAAGGCCAUGAUAAUGCGUUGAAAGUGGACAUUAAUGCGUGGUUAGAACGAAGAAAGUUUCCAGGAAAAAAAAACCUGUAUCAAGUUAUUAAGUGGUAAAUUCUAUACUUCCACGGCAAUUUUAGAUAUAAUUGGGCUUGCAAAUCGUCUGUCUGUCUGUCUGCCUGACUGUCCUUCGUUAAUCUCGAGAAUGGAGUUAGAUAGAUGAAAAUCGAGACCAGAUAUGAGAAGCUUAAGAAGCCCAGAUUAACUAGGCCCACGUGUGAACUUCGUCUGGACCGGAAUUCAGAAGAAAACAAUUAAUUAACUGAAUAUUCGUCAAAUCUGUCAUAAAAGUGAAAUAAAAUGCCUGGGGUUCUCCACAUUCAAUGAGAUGCUCUUUAGUAAUUUCAGUUAUCAAGUUACUCAACUAUAGUUGUGUACAACAUUACAGACUAUUCGAGAAUAUCUGUUAUGGAACUGAUGGAAGAGAAGAUCUAGAAGAGAAAUAACGGAGAUGUGCAGGCCGCACACACAAAGUCGAGAGAAUUAUACUUUAACCUAAUUUAGAAUUCAAAACCAUUUGAGAAAUUACUCGAGCUGAAUGAUUCAACCUGUGAAACAAUCAGCAGAAGAGCGAAAGAACUAAACAUUUACACAGGUAUUGGAUUAGCUACUUCUGAAAGAAUUAGAAAAGCUUACUAAUUGUGGUCAUGUUGAUAUGCAGUUUCUGAACCGGGAGAUCCUCGACUUGAUUUACAGAUUUGAUUUGGACUUUUUCUCGCCUCUCGAUACGGCCGUACGGCUCUAUCUUCCUAAUAGAUAUCAGUCCUUGCUGGCAAAUGAUAAUAACUAUCGUGCAAAACUAGCCAAAACUAUUUCUCAAUCUUUAUAUAUUGCCAUAAAAUAGUUUCUCAUAAAUUUCUCUUUAACUUUUACAUAAGAAUAUCUUUUACUAUAUCCGCAUUUAUGACUUCAAUAUGACCUUUGAUGCUACUAAUACUUUAACAUUGAAUACAUAAUAAUUUUAAU
This is a long non-coding RNA of Centruroides sculpturatus (bark scorpion), 1419 nucleotides long. RefSeq lists it as uncharacterized. The transcript has 12 exons. The record is from RefSeq and is a predicted model, not a curated record. Lineage: Eukaryota; Metazoa; Arthropoda; Arachnida; Scorpiones; Buthidae.